RNAcentral lists this ribosomal RNA (469 nucleotides) under uncultured bacterium. RNAcentral's name for it is "bacterial SSU rRNA". It matches the Rfam family "Bacterial small subunit ribosomal RNA", at positions 28 to 487 of the family's 1533-position model. The record is from RNAcentral.
GAUGAACGCUAGCUACAGGCUUAACACAUGCAAGUCGCGGGGCAGCAUGUCGGUUGCUUGCAACCGAUGAUGGCGACCGGCGCACGGGUGAGUAACGCGUAUCCAACCUGCCCUUCACCACGGAAUAAUCCAGUGAAAAUUGGUCUAAUACCGUAUGAGGUCAUACGAUGGCAUCAGAAUAUGACGAAAGGUUUAGCGGUGAAGGAUGGGGAUGCGUCUGAUUAGCUUGUUGGCGGGGUAACGGCCCACCAAGGCGACGAUCAGUAGGGGUUCUGAGAGGAAGGUCCCCCACAUUGGAACUGAGACACGGUCCAAACUCCUACGGGAGGCAGCAGUGAGGAAUAUUGGUCAAUGGGCGCAAGCCUGAACCAGCCAAGUAGCGUGAGGGAAGACUGCCCUAUGGGUUGUAAACCUCUUUUGUUUGGGAAUAAAGUGCGGGACGCGUCCGCAUUGCAUGUACCAUUUGAAU